RNAcentral lists this ribosomal RNA (394 nucleotides) under uncultured bacterium. RNAcentral describes it as "bacterial SSU rRNA". It matches the Rfam family "Bacterial small subunit ribosomal RNA", at positions 29 to 429 of the family's 1533-position model. The record is from RNAcentral.
AUUGAACGCUGGCGGCAUGCCUUACACAUGCAAGUCGAACGGUAACGCGGGGGCAACCCUGGCGACGAGUGGCGAACGGGUGAGUAAUACAUCGGAACGUACCCAGUAGUGGGGAUAGCUCGGCGAAAGCCGGAUUAAUACCGCAUACGACCUAUGGGUGAAAGCGGGGGAUCGCAAGACCUCGCGCUAUUGGAGCGGCCGAUGUCGGAUUAGCUAGUUGGUGAGGUAAAGGCNCACCAAGGCUACGAUCCGUAGCUGGUCUGAGAGGACGACCAGCCACACUGGGACUGAGACACGGCCCAGACUCCUACGGGAGGCAGCAGUGGGGAAUUUUGGACAAUGGGCGCAAGCCUGAUCCAGCCAUGCCGCGUGUGUGAAGAAGGCCUGGUGUAAG